CCAACCGGAAAAUCCGGUGUGCUCUUGCAAAUAAGAAACAUUAAAAUUCGAAUGAAAAAGUGUUAAAUUAACUCAAAAGCAAAGCAACAUAAAAAAAGGUGGUGCCGCCGCAGCUGAAGCUCUCUGCCACUAAUUGCAAGACCACAACAACACAUUUGAAUAAAGGCUAAAGGCACCUUGCAAUCAACAACGCUACAAAAACAACACACGCAAGGCAAUCGUCAAGGGGCUAAUUGCGUUCGGCUGGGUGUGGGGUUGUUGUCAGACCCGUUGGAGCGGGGGUAAACAAAACGUAUACUUGGUGGAGUUCCGUGCAAAUUAAAGAGAACUUGUGGUCAAGUGAAUGAAAUGAAUAAAGAGCGGCGUAGAUAUAUUAAAAUAACAACAAUACAGGAGCGUCAUCUCAAGGCAGAACCGCAUUGCUAGCAGAGCCAAAAACAGCAGUUUUUCAUUGAAUAGAAGAGUUCGUUCCAUCAAGACGUGAGCAAAGCAGCUGAAGAAAUACAAUAAGGAUUCGGGCAAAGAAUAUAUCUAUAAAAUGAUUCAAUUAAAAAAUUAAAAUUAAAGCAUUUAAUGAAAUUUAAGUGCAAAAGAUGUGUAUAAAAUUAUUUAAAUCGAACUAAAGAAGUGAAAUGGAAAAAAUUUGCUAAAAUGAAAUCGAGACUGCCGUACGUGAGGUGAUGAUGUAUGGUCUUGGAAAUGUGCGGUGAGCUGAGGUGAAGACAAAGGCAAGCAGCGCUGGCGCAAGCAAAUUGGAUGUAUGCGUGUGUGAAUAGGAAAUAAUUGUACCAAUACGGAGUUGAAAUAAUACAAAUUGUUGGCUGAAAUAUUUGGGAAGGAAAUAUGUACGAAAACCGCAUUUAAAAGUGCAAAUAAACUUUAAUUUUUUUACAAAAACAGCUAACAUGUGAGCACAUAUAAAAAGCAAUACAAUUAAACACUUAUAGCUGAAGAAGAAGCAGAAUAAGCAAAAGUGUAGAUAAGUAAUACAAGAAAAAGCAGCAACGCUAAGAAGCAUAUCAUUAUUUCGUUCAAGAGCAGAAAAGUGGCUGCCGAGCACAGAGAUUUAUGUAUGUGAAGUAGUGCACAUAAAAAAUUGAUUGAGCUUGAAAACUGAAAAAUAUCAGAAAUACUUGUAGGACAGUUGGUAAUCUAGAAGAUCUGUGAGAUAAACUAAAAUCUAAAAAGUACGUUAAAAGUGACCUAAUGCUACGUGUAUGCCGCGCUGUAAUUAGCCAGUGAACGUCAAUGGUGAAAAAAGAAGUGGCGACGUGUGGGAGGGGGCGUUGGGCGUAAACAGCUGUGGUCAUAGUAUUUGUUUUUUUAAAGGGCGGACAUUGAGACAAGAAAUUUAAUGAUCACAAGGGCGAAAAAAUUGAUUCUUUGGCUUGAAAUUUAAUUAAACAGUAUAGUGCUACCUACUACAUAUAUUAUACAAAUUCAAAAUGUCUAUUUCAAGUGCAUUUUAUAGGAAAAUGUGGUAGUUAAAAAAACUGUGUAUGCACUGAUUGGGAGUUCGUAAUUGAUCUUCGGACACAUAUGCCUACAUGUAUGUAUGUAUAAAUGUAUGUACAUAUGUAUACAGGUACACAUUUAUGUUUUUGGCUACGAAUUGGCUGAGUUGGAAAUAAGAAAAUAUUUUGCAAAGAAGAAUCAACUUGAAUACCUUCUAA
Rhagoletis zephyria (snowberry fruit fly) is the source of this 1673-nucleotide long non-coding RNA. RefSeq lists it as uncharacterized. The record is from RefSeq and is a predicted model, not a curated record. Lineage: Eukaryota; Metazoa; Arthropoda; Insecta; Diptera; Tephritidae.